CCUACGGGUGGCUGCAGUGGGGAAUAUUGGACAAUGGGGGCAACCCUGAUCCAGCCAUGCCGCGUGUGUGAAGAAGGCCCUCGGGUUGUAAAGCACUUUCAGUGAGGAAGAACGCCUGGUGGUUAAUACCCAUCAGGAAAGACAUCACUCACAGAAGAAGCACCGGCUAACUCCGUGCCAGCAGCCGCGGUAAUACGGAGGGUGCGAGCGUUAAUCGGAAUUACUGGGCGUAAAGCGCGCGUAGGUGGCUUGAUAAGCCGGUUGUGAAAGCCCCGGGCUCAACCUGGGAACGGCAUCCGGAACUGUCAAGCUAGAGUGCAGGAGAGGAAGGUAGAAUUCCCGGUGUAGCGGUGAAAUGCGUAGAGAUCGGGAGGAAUACCAGUGGCGAAGGCGGCCUUCUGGACUGACACUGACACUGAGGUGCGAAAGCGUGGGUAGCAAACAGGAUUAGAGACCCCAGUAGUC
This 465-nucleotide ribosomal RNA is filed under the name Vreelandella stevensii. RNAcentral's name for it is "partial 16S ribosomal RNA". It matches the Rfam family "Bacterial small subunit ribosomal RNA", at positions 338 to 795 of the family's 1533-position model. The record is from RNAcentral. Lineage: Bacteria; Pseudomonadati; Pseudomonadota; Gammaproteobacteria; Oceanospirillales; Halomonadaceae.